CCUACGGGAGGCAGCAGUGGGGAAUAUUGGUCAAUGGGCGGAAGCCUGAACCAGCCAAGUAGCGUGCAGGAUGACGGCCCUACGGGUUGUAAGCUGCUUUUAUACGGAGGUAACGCGCCUUACGUAUAGGGCUUUGCAUGUACCGUAUGAAUAGAGACCGGCUAAUUCCGUGCCAGCAGCCGCGGUAAUACGGAAGGUCCGGGCGUUAUCCGGAUUUAUUUGGGUUAAAGGGAGCGUAGGCCGACUGUCAAGCGUGCUGUGAAAUGUCCGGGCUCAACCCGGGCCUUGCAGCGCGAACUGGCGUGCUUGAGUCUGCGGAAGGGAGGCGGAAUUCGUGGUGUAGCGGUGAAAUGCGUAGAGAUGACGAAGAACACCGAUGGCGAAGGCAGCCGGCUGCAGCGGAACUGACGCUGAGGUGCGAAAGCGCGGGUAGCGAACAGGAUUAGAUACCCUUGUAGUC
Molecule: ribosomal RNA, 460 nt
Filed under: uncultured bacterium
Lineage: Bacteria
Description: partial 16S ribosomal RNA
Rfam family: Bacterial small subunit ribosomal RNA
Source: RNAcentral